RNAcentral lists this ribosomal RNA (655 nucleotides) under Photobacterium sp. Its description in RNAcentral is "bacterial SSU rRNA". It matches the Rfam family "Bacterial small subunit ribosomal RNA", at positions 349 to 996 of the family's 1533-position model. The record is from RNAcentral. Lineage: Bacteria; Pseudomonadati; Pseudomonadota; Gammaproteobacteria; Vibrionales; Vibrionaceae.
CAGCAGUGGGGAAUAUUGCACAAUGGGGGAAACCCUGAUGCAGCCAUGCCGCGUGUAUGAAGAAGGCCUUCGGGUUGUAAAGUACUUUCAGUAGGGAGGAAGGCAGUGUCGUUAAUAGCGGCAUUGUUUGACGUUACCUACAGAAGAAGCACCGGCUAACUCCGUGCCAGCAGCCGCGGUAAUACGGAGGGUGCGAGCGUUAAUCGGAAUUACUGGGCGUAAAGCGCAUGCAGGCGGUCUGUUAAGCAAGAUGUGAAAGCCCGGGGCUCAACCUCGGAACAGCAUUUUGAACUGGCAGACUAGAGUCUUGUAGAGGGGGGUAGAAUUUCAGGUGUAGCGGUGAAAUGCGUAGAGAUCUGAAGGAAUACCGGUGGCGAAGGCGGCCCCCUGGACAAAGACUGACGCUCAGAUGCGAAAGCGUGGGGAGCAAACAGGAUUAGAUACCCUGGUAGUCCACGCCGUAAACGAUGUCUACUUGGAGGUUGUGGCCUUGAGCCGUGGCUUUCGGAGCUAACGCGUUAAGUAGACCGCCUGGGGAGUACGGUCGCAAGAUUAAAACUCAAAUGAAUUGACGGGGGCCCGCACAAGCGGUGGAGCAUGUGGUUUAAUUCGAUGCAACGCGAAGAACCUUACCUACUCUUGACAUCCAGAGAAC